RNAcentral lists this transfer RNA (85 nucleotides) under Vibrio parahaemolyticus. RNAcentral describes it as "tRNA-Leu". It matches the Rfam family "tRNA". From Rfam's summary of the family: Transfer RNA (tRNA) molecules are approximately 80 nucleotides in length. Their secondary structure includes four short double-helical elements and three loops (D, anti-codon, and T loops). Further hydrogen bonds mediate the characteristic L-shaped molecular structure. tRNAs have two regions of fundamental functional importance: the anti-codon, which is responsible for specific mRNA codon recognition, and the 3' end, to which the tRNAs corresponding amino acid is attached (by aminoacyl-tRNA synthetases). tRNAs cope with the degeneracy of the genetic code in two manners: having more than one tRNA (with a specific anti-codon) for a particular amino acid; and 'wobble' base-pairing, i.e. permitting non-standard base-pairing at the 3rd anti-codon position. Lineage: Bacteria; Pseudomonadati; Pseudomonadota; Gammaproteobacteria; Vibrionales; Vibrionaceae. The record is from RNAcentral.
GCGGAAGUGGCGGAAUUGGUAGACGCACCAGAUUUAGGUUCUGGCGCCGCAAGGUGUGCGAGUUCAAGUCUCUCCUUCCGCACCA